Molecule: long non-coding RNA, 997 nt
Filed under: Medicago truncatula (barrel medic)
Lineage: Eukaryota; Viridiplantae; Streptophyta; Magnoliopsida; Fabales; Fabaceae
Description: lncRNA gene14047
Source: RNAcentral
UUUUGUUUUGUUGAGCCCGCUAGUUUUUUUUGGUUAAUUCUCAAUCAAUCAAACAAUAUUAUUUUUGUUAAUUAAUAAAAUAGAAACCUUCUAUCUCUUUCACAACAACUCAGAACCAUUCCUAUCAAACCCUUUGCACCUUCAACCCCCAAAAUCUGAUCGAACCCUACUGAAACUUCAGAACCAAAGUAACAAAGAAAAAAGGGCAAUGGAGUUACAGAACUCAUACCCACACAACACUCUCUUGGUGUAGAUCAGAGUCUCUCUUUCCUCUCUUCUCGGAUUUUGAUCUCUGAUUUCGAUCCCUGAAUCCCCCAAUUCCGGCAAAUCGAUUCAUCAAAUCCUUCUCUUGCAAUUCGAUCUGAUUCAACUUUCCCGGCGAACACACUCAAUCAUCGAUUGUGAAUCCUUUCUCUACAGGAAUGUUAUUGAGGUUUCUGUUCUUGUGCUACUUCAUGAAUCUUUUUUCUAGGAGUUGGAGUAAUUAGGCACAAUGCAAAGUUCAUAUGAUAUUGAGCAAGCAUUAUUUAGAAGUGCAUGGUAUGGAGGAAGAUGUCUAGCGAGUGGAAGUGCACUUAAGAUAGUUUUUUCUUCAUCAGAUAAAUAAUGAUGGUAUCGAUUAAUAAUUUCAAGAUUUGGAAGCACAAGACGAUGAGUUAGAUGUUUGAUGGUUACGAUUUUUUUACAGAUGUUAUUUUGAUUGUGGUCAAUAAUGAUUGGCCUUAUGUCUUUUUUUUUUUUUUUUAGGGAGUUUGCCUUAUGUCUCACUAUGUACCUUUAAGACUUGAGUACUUAUUUUGACAAAUAUUUGAAGGUUAAUAAUAACAAUUAACACAGUUUCUAAUUUUAUUUUUUUUCAAAUUGUUUUAUCACAACGGUUAAAAACGGUAGCAGUAGCUUAUUAUGACUCAUUUUAAAACUGCUCUAUCAAAACGGUUUCAGUUAUACCAACGGCAGAUACGUGUUUGGAUAGCAAUUUAUAAACCGUUUUGCAAUA